ACGUAGGAGGCAAGCGUUAUCCGGAGUUACUGGGCGUAAAGGGCGUGCAGGCGGUUGGCUAAGUUCGUUGUGAAAGCGCCCAGGCUUAACCGGGCGAGGACAAUGAAGACUGGCGGGCUGGAGUACGGCAGAGGGGGGUGGAAUUCCACGUGUAGCAGUGAAAUGCGUAGAGAUGUGGAGGAACACCGAUGGCGAAGGCAGCCCCCUGGGCCGAUACUGACGCUCAUGCACGAAAGCGUGGGGAGCAAACAG
This 252-nucleotide ribosomal RNA is filed under the name uncultured prokaryote. RNAcentral describes it as "partial 16S ribosomal RNA". It matches the Rfam family "Bacterial small subunit ribosomal RNA", at positions 525 to 775 of the family's 1533-position model. The record is from RNAcentral.